RNAcentral lists this ribosomal RNA (347 nucleotides) under uncultured bacterium. RNAcentral's name for it is "bacterial SSU rRNA". It matches the Rfam family "Bacterial small subunit ribosomal RNA", at positions 28 to 372 of the family's 1533-position model. The record is from RNAcentral.
GACGAACGCUGGCGGCGUGCUUAAUACAUGCAAGUCAACGAUUUUUAAGAUAGCAAUAUUUUAAAAAUAGUGGCGCACGGGUGAGUAACACGUAGAUAAUCUGCCUUUAGGUCUGACAUAACUCGUCGAAAGACGGGCUAAUAUCAGAUAAAACAAUAACUUGGCAUCAAGUAAUUGUCAAAAGCUUCGGCGCCCAAAAGAUGAGUCUGCGGACCAUUAGGUAGUUGGUGGAUUAACAGCCCACCAAGCCAACGAUGGAUAGCUGGUCUGAGAGGAUGAUCAGCCACACUGGAACUGAGACACGGUCCAGAUCCUACGGGAGGCAGCAGUAAGGAAUAUUGCUCAAU